This 119-nucleotide ribosomal RNA is filed under the name Lupinus angustifolius (narrow-leaved blue lupine). The record is from RNAcentral. Lineage: Eukaryota; Viridiplantae; Streptophyta; Magnoliopsida; Fabales; Fabaceae.
AGUUGCGCUUAUACCAGCACUAAUGCACCGGAUCUCAUGAGAACUCCGUAGUUCAACAUGCUUGGGAGAUACUAGUACUAGGAUGGGUGACCUACUAGGAAGUCCUCGUGUUGCACCUC